This 209-nucleotide microRNA precursor is filed under the name Paramuricea clavata. The record is from RNAcentral. Lineage: Eukaryota; Metazoa; Cnidaria; Anthozoa; Malacalcyonacea; Plexauridae.
ACUGUUGCGUUUUUCAUACGUACGUAUACGCACGUAAAACUUUAAAUCCGUUUAAAUGUUACUUAUGAAAUAACCAAAUAAAUAAAGCAACAGAAUUUAGUGUUCCGCAAGUUUUAGUAUGCAUUUGUUAACUUAUUUGUACAAUAUUUAAAAAAUAGAAGGAUUCAAAGUUUUACGUGCGUGUACGUGCGUACGAAUAACGCAACAGU